RNAcentral lists this ribosomal RNA (508 nucleotides) under uncultured bacterium. Its description in RNAcentral is "partial 16S ribosomal RNA". It matches the Rfam family "Bacterial small subunit ribosomal RNA", at positions 28 to 523 of the family's 1533-position model. The record is from RNAcentral.
GAUGAACGCUAGCUACAGGCUUAACACAUGCAAGUCGAGGGGAAACGACAUCGAAAGCUUGCUUUUGAUGGGCGUCGACCGGCGCACGGGUGAGUAACGCGUAUCCAACCUGCCCACCACUUGGGGAUAACCUUGCGAAAGUAAGACUAAUACCCAAUGAUAUCUCUAGAAGACAUCUGAAGGAGAUUAAAGAUUUAUCGGUGAUGGAUGGGGAUGCGUCUGAUUAGCUUGUUGGCGGGGUAACGGCCCACCAAGGCGACGAUCAGUAGGGGUUCUGAGAGGAAGGUCCCCCACAUUGGAACUGAGACACGGUCCAAACUCCUACGGGAGGCAGCAGUGAGGAAUAUUGGUCAAUGGGCGAGAGCCUGAACCAGCCAAGUAGCGUGCAGGAUGACGGCCCUAUGGGUUGUAAACUGCUUUUAUAAGGGAAUAAAGUGAGCCUCGUGAGGCUUUUUGCAUGUACCUUAUGAAUAAGGACCGGCUAAUUCCGUGCCAGCCGCCGCUGUAA